UGGAAAGCUUGGGAAGACCAAUGGCCCGGAGAUUUAUCGGUUUGAUCAGGAAUCCCUCACCUUGUAGCAACCCUGACACACACAAAAAAAUGGCCUGAAUAGAGUACAGGGGAGGUAGCUGAUUCAAGGAAAACAUGGCAGAGAUGGUGGUGCAACCAGAAGCAUGUCGCCACUGUGCCUGUUUUGAUAGUAAUAAAAGGAUAGUGUGGGGAUGUACAGCAGGCUCGUCUGAGGUUUGCAGGUGUAAUGAUGGAUUGGAAGGGGUUUAGGAAGGGGUGUAGUCUGAAGACGAAUAUAGGUUGAGAAUGGCUGACCUGAUCCAUUGUGCUGCAUCUGAGGUUAAAUCUAAUGAUGUCAGGGGUAAAAGGAAGUGUCAGAGAGACUAGUGUGCCGUGAAGGGUCAGAGGUGGAAGAGGUAAAGGUGAACUCAGAGCAUCUCAAAAACACAGAGGCUAACAGAAACAUAGCUUUGAGUGUUGAGUCAGUGAAAGGGGAUAUGUAUCCUGUGUAAGAGGUUUGGAUACAAAGGGUGAAGAGGUCAAUCAAGGGAAUCAGAGGCUCUGGACUGCAUGAAAGGUUUUACAACUGGACUACCCGGAAUAGUAUGAUAAAGGGGUUUUGGCACAAGGCUAUUUAAUUGGUUUGCUGCGAUGAGGUAAUGAGAUGGAGGAGCUGUGGAUUCAGAUGUGGACAGCAGCUAAAAAGUAAGGAAAUGGAAUCAGAUGAGGAUCUAAUUCUGGUGCCAAGGAUUUGAAUCUGAGUCAGCAGUAGGGUUUUGGUGACCUGGAAUGUUAGCUGCAUUUAAUAAAUUGGUUUUGAGCUGAUAUUCGAGUAAGUUGGUGUGACGAUCCCAUCUACUUGUUUCGAUGGCGGUGUCUAUUCUGUUUCAGAUGCAGGUGGGUGUGGCUAGGCGGGAUCCUCCUGGAUUGAGAACACCUGGGCCAGCUGUGUCUCAGUCUACACAAAUAGGCUGAAGGCAUUCAUCUUUGGGGGAGUUAGUUUGGCAGGCUGCUCCCUCACCACGCUCCUUUUUGAUGUUUUCUUACACAACCAACAUCGUUAUGUUCCCAAAGACGGCUGCAAUGACAACAGGAUAGAUUUUGAAAAGAGCAGACCACAGAGAAAGUGAGAGAAGUUGCUGUGGCCAAUCAGAGGCAUACCAUCUACCCUUGUACUACCUGACAAAUCAAAUGGAGGGUGCUACGUCAGGGAAGAGAUUGAUGUCUUCUGGCUGAGUGAUGUGAUUAUUAAAAAAAAGAAAUAUUGUUCUAAGAUGAAAGGAAGUGGAGCCAUAACCUUGGCCCAAUCUUGCAACCUACAUCCAGGGAGAUGUUACUGCAGUGGGAAGGCACUGCAGUAGGCAUGGACAGCAGAUGAAAGAUGAAAGACCAAACUUGAGGGAUGAUGCAAACUGCAAAAAGUAGUGACAAGAGCUGACAUUUCGCACAGUUUCGGUGCAGUUUCUAUGUUGGGAGGGAGGCUUGAAAGGUGAUGGGGUUGAGGUUGAUGCCAAGGAAUUCAAUGACUUUGCAUGGCCCUAUAGUCUUUUCUGGGAAGAGGGAGACACCAGGCUUGAGGAAAACAGCCUUUGUAGUAUAAUCUCUUCAUACAUUUAGGUUGAGAAAUAUAGAGUAAUUAUCUUUUAGUAAGGAGCUACAAAUAAUCUAGGUUGGCCUGCUCCUGCAGCCUCAUGACCCUGAGAUUGUAAGCAGGCUGUCUUGCAGGAGCCUGAACUAUCUGUCUGCUGGAACAUUUAAUCUCUGAGAGGGUCAAGACGAGCCUAAACAAACUGUCGCGGGGCAGACAUGUCAUCAUGAAGAGCCUUCUGGAGAAUUCACACACACACACAUACACACACACACACACACACACACACACACACACACACACACACACACACACACCUGAAAGCAUAAAAGGGAGUAGAAGACAAGCUAUGGAGGCUUCCCUUGGUCUUGGUUGAGACCAUAGACUGUAUAUACUGUGGACAACUUGGUUCCGCCUACCGCCUGUAUACGGAUUUGAAGCCAAAAAGCUCUCAGUAUUUCCGGAAUUUUUCUUCAUUUCCUGAAACCAGCGCUGUGCAGUUGCGUUGUGCGCAUUAGGCCGCGCAGUCGCAGGGAGUCACUGUGAUGACGCUCGUCUCAAACAGCGUAUCACCCGGGAGAGCUACUCAAUCCCUGAAUGCCCAUAGGCUGUAUCAGGUGUCAAUCAUAGCAAACAUGAACCCCCUAAUAACUUUUAAAAACGGAGCUCCACAGAAAAAAGAGGACUUGAGCACAAACCAGUCUUACAAUAACUACAUGUCAACAUCGCAAGCAGGGGGGAGAAAGAUGUAUGUUCUGUGUAAUAUAUUUGUCCACAGCUCCAUGAGCUUUGCUGGUGAAGGCGGGAUUUAUGACCUUUACUGCAGCCCAUCAACAGAGGGUGCUGUUCUCGGAGUGGCUUCACCCAGCGAGGAGGCAGACAGCAGUCUAUGGUUGAGACUCUGUCAUCUGUACUGAUUUCUACAUCUGUACAAUAAAAGACGCUCAGGCUGUUCUUCAGAUCUCAUCCUGUCUCCUGUGCAUUGUUUUACUAAGUUUAUGCUGGAUUUUCUACAACCUCAAGAGGAUUGUGAUGGAGGUAAGACUGAAGCUGUAAUUGUUAUAAAGUUAUCCAAGAUGUUAAUGACAUAAGGAAGUUUAUGGUUAUUCAGACGAAUCCAGUAGAGGGUUAGGAGUCUACCAAUUGUGUUAGGUUAUUAUGAGCAGAUUGGAGAUUAUUGCACAUAAAAAAUUGAUUGCAGGAUCAUUUUGAUGUCAAGAUGGAAACUGAAAGUAAAACCAU
This 2829-nucleotide long non-coding RNA is filed under the name Xyrichtys novacula (pearly razorfish). Lineage: Eukaryota; Metazoa; Chordata; Actinopteri; Labriformes; Labridae. The record is from RNAcentral.